UGGAGCCCAUGGUGCUCCUAGAGGCACUGGCAAAGCCAGGACUGGUCCCCUGUGCCACUUGUCACACCAGAGCACCCUGGCCCUUGUCAGGCCUGUGUCACGGACAUAUCUGUCACCUGCAUGUCCUUGCCACUCUGAUGUGAGUGUGUUGCCCUGCACCCAGAUCAUCCCAUUGUUUGCCAAGCAGAGCUGGUGGUGCUGUGGGCAGGGACAGGGUGAUGCAAAACCGGGUACUUCUCUGUGAGACAGAGCCCUGAGAUGCCUGGGCUGGGGGGCUGGAGGGGACAGGGGCACUGGGUAGGGGCUGUCCUCUCCUCCCACCUCCUGGCAUCCAUGCUGGACAAGGCUGGUGUACUCAUGGCAGGGGCUACAGAGGAAUGUAAGAGCCAGCUCCUUGCUCCAUGCCCUGAUGCUUAUCAGCCCCAUACAGAGGAGUGCCAGGAGCCCUAGGACUGUGCAGGGUUUGGGCCCCCCCUUCAUUAGACACAGUGUCCCUCUCCCUGCCCGGUGGAAGCAGCAGGGUGCGAGGACGCUUGUCCCCCUGCCAGCCUUCUGCAGUGACCCCUGUGCAGGGGUGGCCUGUCCAUCCACAGCAGCAUCAGGCAGGGACCUGAGUGUCAUGGGAGCCUGCAGCGUGUCCCUGGCUGGGCGGCAGGGGUGGGACAGGGUAACCCAGUCAGAGAUGGGAGUGGGGCUGGCCCUUCUCUCACCCCCUGCUCUCUGCAGGCCCAUGAGCAAGAUGAUGUGGUGGAGCAGGACCACAUCCCAGCUGGGAUGCAGGAGCUACGCAGUCGGCAGGCAGAAGACCCCCAGAAACCCAGUACCCAGGCUGUGGUCUCGGGGACUCUCGCGCUCCUGGAGCUGCAGCAGGCCCCAGAACCUGGUCUGGAGCCUGAAGGUGGUGGUGAGGAGCCAGAGCAGGUCCAGCUGUGCUCCCUGGGCACUGCUCAUCCCAAGGGACAGCACCAGGUGGCCUGGAAGGAAGGAGGCCCACGCAGCCCUGCCACUGCCCAGGAGCCCAGUGGAGGGAGAAACCACUGGGUGGAGCAGCCCCCCAUGGGCCAUCCCAGUGCUGGCAGCCAGGGCAGCCAGGUACAGAAGUGGUGGCACUGAGGUCGCCACUGCCCUCUUCACCCCUGGGGCUGGUGGUCCUGUGGGUGAAGGCAGCUUGAUGGCAUAGGAGGGUGCGUGUGCCCCCCCAGCUUUGCCUCUUUCCCUCCCUGCAGCUUGGUGUCAGGGUGCGCAGCCAGGUGCCAGCACUGGCCGGUAGGCAUGGUGAGCCGCCAUCAGGUAAGUGCAGCCCCAUGGGGAGAGUGCUGGGGCUGUGUCCCCCCCAGCUGGACAAUGCCCUUUAGGGGGCCCCUGCUGCAUCCCUGCCCUGCAGCACGUGCAUCCCGGCAGCGUGGGGAAGGGCAUCAGCCCUGGGGAUGUGACAAACCCACAAGGGCUGGGGCAGAAAUGUGAGGGCAGGAGGUGGCCAGGCCAAGGGUCAUCCCCAGCUGGUGGCAAUUUGCUCCCUGGCCAUAUGGUAACGGUGCCUGCCCCAGCUGGGUGCUAGGGGAGCAGGGUGCCUGGUGGCCUGUUUACCAGUCCCCCAGCUCCAGGCUGAGCGGCAGCACAGCCAUGAAAGGGAAACGGUGCCUGCAGCAAACCCCAGCCUUUUGCAUUCUUUGUCCCAAUAAGGCCAGGAGCCGUGUGCUGGCUGGCCCUGACCUUCCUGGGGCUGCACUGACUGGCCCAGCCAGGGCCCGGUACCCUCUGGGUCCUCCCUGUAGCCUUGAGGGAUCACAGUUGUCAGCAGCUGCUUUCUUCCUACUGCUGGGAAAACCAUUCCUGAGGUUGUGGCUGUGCUGGGAGGAAACAGGGGUUAAAAAAACAGAGAGCAGUGCUCUGUCCCCAGGGUGAAGGUUCCCACUCAGGGUCACACUUGCAGAAAACGGCUGCUUUCCUCCAAGAAGCCCCGGGGGUCUGCUGGCUUCUGAGAAGGCAGAAACCCUGGGGAGAUUGCAUGGGAUGGUGCACUGCAGCAUGGCACACCGCUGGGGCAGAGGGAAGUGUGCAGGACCUGACCCACCUUGCCUCACCUGGGGGUUCAAACCUGGGUACUGGGGAAAGGCUGAGCUGCCCUCCUGCUUGGGCAUCAGCAACUCCAGCCCCAUGCCAGCAUGCUGCCUGUUCAG
Long non-coding RNA from Calidris pygmaea (Spoon-billed sandpiper), 2180 nucleotides. Lineage: Eukaryota; Metazoa; Chordata; Aves; Charadriiformes; Scolopacidae. The record is from Ensembl.